This 236-nucleotide unclassified non-coding RNA is filed under the name Ambisporaceae sp. RNAcentral's name for it is "partial contains 5.8S ribosomal RNA and internal transcribed spacer 2". The stretch from base 1 to 71 matches the Rfam family "5.8S ribosomal RNA", at positions 84 to 154 of the family's 154-position model. The record is from RNAcentral. Lineage: Eukaryota; Fungi; Glomeromycota; Glomeromycetes; Archaeosporales; Ambisporaceae.
GUGAAUCAUCGAAUUUUUGAACGCAUAUUGCACUCUCUGGUAUUCCGGAGAGUAUGCCUUGUUGAGGGUAAUUAAAAAGAAUGUUUAACCAGUUUUUUUUGGUCAAGGGAAAUGAGUGCUCCGCGUGUAUAGCGGUAGCUUGAAAUAAAUGGUCAAGUCUCAGUUUAGUCUAGACGCGUAAUAAUAUUAUUUCACGAAAUCUUCAUUAUGUUACUAUCAAUUUUUUAUGCAUACAA